UGAGCUCACCCGUGAUGUUAUUAAUUAUAAAUAGUAAUAGCAUUUAGCUAAUUCGUAUUGUGGUUUCUGUCAGCCGAGAGUUAUAAAAAUAUGACCACUUGUGUUACGUCAAUCUUUCCUCAAUUAGCGCUAGAACAAAUGUAGCCUACAUUAUCCGGUGUGGAUGAUUGUGUUAUCCUGUAGCUACUUCUGUGAAUCUCUGAACAUUGCAUCCAAAAAUAAACUGGUCACAUUCUGGACAUAACUUUGUAAGGACUGUGUUUGCGCAAAAUGUUUCUGUGAAAAAACAGCGUGGCCAGCUCAAAUGCUGAUUGUUGGGUCGAUCGAAACUGGACGUUCCAAUCAAGCGUUCUAGUCACACCGGUUUAAUCGUAUGCUACAGGGACCACUGUAGAAUGAUCACAUCCGUUUGUUGGUACGUGUGAAAAUGUUCAACUCUGUGAAGCAUUUAUUUGGGCUGAGGCUGGUAUCCUCUGCAGCAGAGGUAACUCUGGGUCUUCCUGUCCUGUGGCGGUCGUCAUGAGAGCCAGUUUUAUCAUAGCGUUUGAUGGUUAAUGCUAAUGCACUUGAAGAAACUUUCAAAGUUCUUGAAAUGUUCCGGAUUGACUGAACUUCAUGUCUUAAAGUAAUGAUGGACUGUCAUUUCUUUUUUCUUAUUUGAGCUGUUCUUGCCAUGAUAUGUACUUGGUCUUUUACCAAAUAGGGCUAUCUUCUGUGUACCACCCCUAACUUGUCACAACACAUCUGAUUGGCUCAAACGCAUUAAGAAGGAAAAAGAUUCCACCAAUUAACUUUUAACAAGGCACACCUGUUUAUUGAAAUGCAUUCCAGGUUACUACCUCAUGAAGCUGGUUGAGAGAAUGCAAAGAGUGUGCAAAACUGUCAUCAAGGCAAAGGGUGGCUACUUUGAAGAAUCUCAAAUAUAUUUUGAUUUGUUUAACACUUUUUUGAACCAGGCUUGUGGAGGUCUUGGCUGAUAUCUUUUGAUUUUCCCAUGAUGUCAAGCAAAGAGGCACUGAGUUUAAAGGUAGCCCUUGAAAUACAUCCACAGGUACACCUCCAAUUGACUCAAAUUAUGUAAAUUAGCAUAUCAGAAGCUUCGAAAGCCAUGAUAUAAUUUUCUGGAAUUGUCCAAGCUGUUUAAAGGCACAGUCAAUUUAGUGUAUGUAAACUUCUGACCCACUGAAAUUGUGAUAGUGAAAUAAUCUGUCUGUAAACAAUUGUUGGAAAAAUUACUUGGGUCAUGC
This is a long non-coding RNA of Oncorhynchus tshawytscha (Chinook salmon), 1247 nucleotides long. NCBI's taxonomy places the organism in Eukaryota, Metazoa, Chordata, Actinopteri, Salmoniformes, Salmonidae. The record is from Ensembl.